Molecule: ribosomal RNA, 425 nt
Filed under: uncultured bacterium
Lineage: Bacteria
Description: partial 16S ribosomal RNA
Rfam family: Bacterial small subunit ribosomal RNA
Source: RNAcentral
GUGGGGAAUAUUGGACAAUGGGCGCAAGCCUGAUCCAGCCAUGCCGCGUGAGUGAUGAAGGCCCUAGGGUUGUAAAGCUCUUUCACCGAUGAAGAUAAUGACGGUAGUCGGAGAAGAAGCCCCGGCUAACUUCGUGCCAGCAGCCGCGGUAAUACGAAGGGGGCUAGCGUUGUUCGGAAUUACUGGGCGUAAAGCGCACGUAGGCGGAUAUUUAAGUCAGGGGUGAAAUCCCAGAGCUCAACUCUGGAACUGCCUUUGAUACUGGGUAUCUCGAGUAUGGAAGAGGUGAGUGGAAUUCCGAGUGUAGAGGUGAAAUUCGUAGAUAUUCGGAGGAACACCAGUGGCGAAGGCGGCUCACUGGUCCAUUACUGACGCUGAGGUGCGAAAGCGUGGGGAGCAAACAGGAUUAGAAACCCCAGUAGUCC